GCGGCGGACGGGUGAGUAACACGUGGGCAACCUGCCUAUAAGACUGGGAUAACUUCGGGAAACCGGAGCUAAUACCGGAUAAUUCUUUUCUACACAUGUAGGAAAGCUGAAAGGCGGCUUCGGCUGUCACUUAUAGAUGGGCCCGCGGCGCAUUAGCUAGUUGGUGAGGUAACGGCUCACCAAGGCAACGAUGCGUAGCCGACCUGAGAGGGUGAUCGGCCACACUGGGACUGAGACACGGCCCAGACUCCUACGGGAGGCAGCAGUAGGGAAUCUUCCGCAAUGGACGAAAGUCUGACGGAGCAACGCCGCGUGAGUGAUGAAGGUUUUCGGAUCGUAAAACUCUGUUGUUAGGGAAGAACAAGUACGAGAGUAACUGCUCGUACCUUGACGGUACCUAACCAGAAAGCCACGGCUAACUACGUGCCAGCAGCCGCGGUAAUACGUAGGUGGCAAGCGUUGUCCGGAAUUAUUGGGCGUAAAGCGCGCGCAGGUGGUUCCUUAAGUCUGAUGUGAAAGCCCACGGCUCAACCGUGGAGGGUCAUUGGAAACUGGGGAACUUGAGUGCAGGAGAGAAGAGUGGAAUUCCACGUGUAGCGGUGAAAUGCGUAGAGAUGUGGAGGAACACCAGUGGCGAAGGCGACUCUUU
This 649-nucleotide ribosomal RNA is filed under the name uncultured Bacillus sp. RNAcentral describes it as "bacterial SSU rRNA". It matches the Rfam family "Bacterial small subunit ribosomal RNA", at positions 95 to 730 of the family's 1533-position model. Lineage: Bacteria; Bacillati; Bacillota; Bacilli; Caryophanales; Bacillaceae. The record is from RNAcentral.